UGGGGGAUAUUGCACAAUGGGCGAAAGCCUGAUGCAGCGACGCCGCGUGGGGGAUGAAGGCCUUCGGGUUGUAAACUUCUUUUGCUCUGAACAAGGCAUGCCUUUGGGGUGUGUUGAGUGUAGGGGUUGAUUAGCGCCGGCUAACUACGUGCCAGCAGCCGCGGUAAUACGUAGGGCGCGAGCGUUGUCCGGAAUUAUUGGGCGUAAAGGGCUUGUAGGUGGCUGGUUGCGUCUGUCGUGAAAGCUCAUGGCUUAACUGUGGGUUUGCGGUGGGUACGGGCUGGCUUGAGUGCAGUAGGUGAGGCUGGAAUUCCUGGUGUAGCGGUGGAAUGCGCAGAUAUCAGGAGGAAUACCGGUGGCGAAGGCGGGUCUCUGGGCUGUUACUGACGCUGAGGAGCGAAAGCGUGGGGAGCGAACAGG
RNAcentral lists this ribosomal RNA (420 nucleotides) under Fusobacteriota bacterium. Its description in RNAcentral is "Fusobacteria bacterium partial 16S ribosomal RNA". It matches the Rfam family "Bacterial small subunit ribosomal RNA", at positions 355 to 776 of the family's 1533-position model. Lineage: Bacteria; Fusobacteriati; Fusobacteriota. The record is from RNAcentral.